Picochlorum sp. SENEW3 is the source of this 81-nucleotide non-coding RNA. NCBI's taxonomy places the organism in Eukaryota, Viridiplantae, Chlorophyta, Trebouxiophyceae. The record is from the annotation of a GenBank genome assembly.
GGUGUCGUGUCCGAGUGGUUAAGGAGAAGGAUUCGAAAUCCUUUGGGGAAACCCGCGCAGGUUCAAAUCCUGCCGGCACCG